CUUCAGGGGAGGCACAGUCUCUUUACAGCCCCAUGGGGCUAAUGUCUCUUGCCAAACGAUUUGUUUUUAGUGAGCAUGUGCGACAAUCCUGGCCAGUGAGAGAGGAGGAAAGUGUGCAGGGAGGACUCGGGAAAGAAUUUUCUUACUCUCAAGAGAGGACACACGGCAGGGGUGGAAAUGUAAGAGAAAUAGCAGACUGGAGGAAGUAACGGCUGGGUCUCCAGCUAGACAGCUCUGAAGGCCUGGUUUUGUGGAGCAGUGAGGGGGAGGAAAUGCAUGCUGUGGACAAAGGCUAACGGCAAGGAGAAAGGAAGGAGAAGAACAGCACCAGGGCUCCAGGAAAAUCAACCAACUCCAAAGCCCAGGAGGUCAUAAAGCUUCAUGAGAGGAUGUAGUGCCAAAGUCCUGCCCUGGGGAGCAGAACAAACAGUCCAAGAAGCCGGGAAGACCAACAUGUGCUUGAACACGUGGAGUUUUCCAGAGGCUCCGUGAUGUGUGAUAUGGCAACAGAUUGAAUAUAGAAGCAAACACGAGAAUCCAGCUGCAAAAAGAUUUGCAGAACUGCAAAAUAAUGCCACUCUCCUCAUUAAUUUUUUUUGGUUUAGAAAAUAGUGCUAUUUUCAUUAAAGUAAAUUAUUUAUUC
This 643-nucleotide long non-coding RNA is filed under the name Equus caballus (horse). Its description in RNAcentral is "lncRNA (ENSECAG00000053167.1)". Lineage: Eukaryota; Metazoa; Chordata; Mammalia; Perissodactyla; Equidae. The record is from RNAcentral.